GGGUGCUGUUAGUGUGAUGUGUGUGUGAGGGUGCUGGUAGUGUGCUAUGUGGGUGAGGGUGUUUGUGUGUGCGAGCUUGUGAGGGUGUUGUUAAUGUACUGUGUGUGAGGGUGCUGUUUGUGUGUGUGUGUGUGUGUGCACUUGUGAGGGUGCUGUUAAUGUACUGUGUGUGAGGGUGCUGUUUGUGUGUGAGGGUACUGGCAGUGUGCUGUGUGUGUGUUUGUUAG
Molecule: non-coding RNA, 227 nt
Organism: Pelobates cultripes (western spadefoot toad)
Lineage: Eukaryota; Metazoa; Chordata; Amphibia; Anura; Pelobatidae
Source: the annotation of a GenBank genome assembly